Small nucleolar RNA from Ochotona curzoniae (black-lipped pika), 72 nucleotides. RefSeq annotates it as small nucleolar RNA SNORD113/SNORD114 family. The transcript has a single exon. The record is from RefSeq and is a predicted model, not a curated record. Lineage: Eukaryota; Metazoa; Chordata; Mammalia; Lagomorpha; Ochotonidae.
UGGAUUGAUGAUGUUGACUAGUGGCGUAUGAGGCACGGAUGCUGAUUGCUGGUCUGGAAGUCUGAGGUCCAG